ACGUACCCUGAUCCUGGGAAUAACCCUCGGAAACGAGGGCUAAUACCGAAUGUGGCGAACGACCGGUUGGUCGCUCGCUAAAGGUGGCCUCUUCUAUGCUGCCGGGUUGGGAUCGGCCCGCGUCCCAUUAGCUAGUUGGUGAGGUAACGGCUCACCAAGGCCACGAUGGGUAGCCGGCCUGAGAGGGUGUACGGCCACACUGGCACUGAGACAAGGGCCAGUCCCCUAUGGGAGGCGCAGGCGGGAAUAGUUCACAAUGGGCGAAAGCCUGAUGACGCGACGCCGCGUGAGCGAAGAAGACCUUCGGGUUGUAAAGCUCUGUCAGGAGGGAAGAAGGCUCUACGGGUUAAUAGCCCGUGGAAUUGACGGUACCUCCAGAGGAAGCCCCGGCUAAAUACGUGCCAGCAGCCGCGGUAAUACGUAUGGGGCAAGCGUUGUCCGGAUUUACUGGGCGUAAAGGGCGCGUAGGCGGUUUGUUAAGUCGAAGGUGAAAUCCUCGGGCUCAACUCGAGAAUUGCCUUCGAUACUGGCAAACUAGAGUGGCGGAGAGGAAAGCGGAACUCUUGGUGUAACGGUGGAAUGUGUAGAUAUCAAGAGGAACACCGGUGGCGAAGGCGGCUUUCUGGACGCACACUGACGCUCAGGCGCGAAAGCGUGGGUAGCAAACAGGAUUAGAUACCCUGGUAGUCCACGCCAUAAACGAUGGGUACUAGGUGUCGGGGGUAUCGACCCCUCCGGUGCCGCAGUUAACGCACUAAGUACCCCGCCUGGGGAUUAUGGUCGCAAGGCUGAAACUCAAAGGAAUUGACGGGGCCCCGCACAAGCGGUGGAGCAUGUGGUUUAAUUCGACGCAACGCGAAGAACCUUACCUGGGCUUGACAUGCUUGGGACAGCGCUGGAAACAGCGUCUCUCCUUCGGGAGCCCUUGCACAGGUGCUGCAUGGCUGUCGUCAGCUCGUGUCGUGAGAUGUUGGGUUAAGUCCCGCAACGAGCGCAACCCUCGUUACUAGUUGCCAUCAGUUCGGCUGGGCACUCUAGUGAGACUGCCGGUGAUAAACCGGAGGAAGGUGAGGAUGAUGUCAAGUCAUCAUGGCCCUUACGCCCAGGGCUACACACGUGCUACAAUGGUCGGCACAAAGGGUCGCUAAGCCGCGAGGUGGAGCUAAUCCCACAAAGCCGGCCUCAGUUCGGAUUGGAGUCUGCAAC
RNAcentral lists this ribosomal RNA (1206 nucleotides) under uncultured organism. Its description in RNAcentral is "bacterial SSU rRNA". It matches the Rfam family "Bacterial small subunit ribosomal RNA", at positions 124 to 1311 of the family's 1533-position model. The record is from RNAcentral.